GAUGAACGCUGGCGGCGUGCCUAAUACAUGCAAGUCGAGCGAACAGACGAGGAGCUUGCUCCUCUGACGUUAGCGGCGGACGGGUGAGUAACACGUGGAUAACCUACCUAUAAGACUGGGAUAACUUCGGGAAACCGGAGCUAAUACCGGAUAAUAUAUUGAACCGCAUGGUUCAAUAGUGAAAGACGGUUUUGCUGUCACUUAUAGAUGGAUCCGCGCCGCAUUAGCUAGUUGGUAAGGUAACGGCUUACCAAGGCGACGAUGCGUAGCCGACCUGAGAGGGUGGUCGGCCACACUGGAACUGAGACACGGUCCAGACUCCUACGGGAGGCAGCAGUAGGGAAUCUUCCGCGAUGGGCGAAAGCCUGACGGAGCAACGCCGCGUGAGUGAUGAAGGUCUUCGGAUCGUAAAACUCUGUUAUUAGGGAAGAACAAAUGUGUAAGUAACUAUGCACGUCUUGACGGUACCUAAUCAGAAAGCCACGGCUAACUACGUG
RNAcentral lists this ribosomal RNA (497 nucleotides) under uncultured bacterium. Its description in RNAcentral is "partial 16S ribosomal RNA". It matches the Rfam family "Bacterial small subunit ribosomal RNA", at positions 28 to 507 of the family's 1533-position model. The record is from RNAcentral.